This 975-nucleotide ribosomal RNA is filed under the name Triticum aestivum (bread wheat). RNAcentral describes it as "partial small subunit ribosomal RNA". Lineage: Eukaryota; Viridiplantae; Streptophyta; Magnoliopsida; Poales; Poaceae. The record is from RNAcentral.
AUGGAGGCCGAGACGGCGGCGAAGAGGGCGCGGGAGAACGAGGGCGCUGCGGCGGCGGACGGAGCCGGGGAGCAGGCGGGGGUCUCCGCCGUCAUCCCCGGAUGGUUCUCCGAGAUCAGCCCCAUGUGGCCCGGCGAGGCGCACUCGCUCAAGGUGGAGAAGGUCCUGUUCCAAGGCAAGUCGGACUACCAAGACGUGCUGGUUUUCCAGUCCUCCACCUACGGGAAGGUGCUCGUCCUGGAUGGGGUGAUCCAGGUGACCGAGAGGGAUGAGUGCGCCUACCAGGAGAUGAUCACCCACCUCCCUCUCUGCUCAAUCAAAGACCCCAAGAAGGUCCUGGUCAUCGGGGGCGGAGACGGCGGCGUUCUGCGCGAGGUCUCGCGGCACUCCUCGGUGGAGCAGAUCGACAUCUGCGAGAUCGACAAGAUGGUGGUCGAUGUGUCGAAGCAGUUCUUCCCUCACCUGGCCCUCGGGUUCGAGGACCCUCGCGUGUCCCUGCACAUCGGCGACGGCGUCGCCUUCCUGAAGAAUGCUCCAGAGGGCACCUAUGAUGCAGUGAUCGUCGAUUCCUCCGACCCAGUAGGCCCUGCCCAGGAGCUGUUCGAGAAGCCGUUCUUCGAGUCCGUCUCCAGGGCUCUGCGUCCGGGCGGGGUCGUCUGCACCCAGGCGGAGAGCAUAUGGCUGCACAUGCACAUCAUAGAGGACAUUGUCACCAACUGUCGCCAGGUUUUCAAAGGCUCGGUGAACUACGCAUGGACUACGGUGCCCACAUACCCAAGCGGAGUGAUAGGUUUCAUGCUCUGCUCCACGGAGGGACCUAGUGUUGAUUUCCAGCAUCCCGUCUUCAGCAUCGAGGAGGACGAAUACUCCACAAAAUCAAAGGGGCCGCUCAAGUUCUACAAUUCCGAGUUCCACACCGCAUCGUUUUGUUUGCCAUCAUUUGCGAGGAGGGUCAUUGAGGCCAAGGCUAACUAG